Molecule: long non-coding RNA, 439 nt
Organism: Vombatus ursinus (common wombat)
Lineage: Eukaryota; Metazoa; Chordata; Mammalia; Diprotodontia; Vombatidae
Exons: 3
Source: RefSeq, a predicted model, not a curated record
CCCGUUUAAAUGGGUGCACAGCUGAGGUUGAAGCAUACUCAAAAGCCAAAGUGGAUCUCUUAGUCUGGCUCUUUGCUGACUGGCUGGCAUUGAAUAAGGAGGACAAGAUGCUGUGGGCCUCCAGGCUGCAUCUGUCUGGCCAAAUAGAAGCUUUUUCUUUUUUUCCAAGGCAGCUGUGGUGCAGGCACCCAAUGAAGUUUUUGUAGCAGCUGGAAAAAAAAAUUUACAGGAGGACAAGUCAUGCCAGAAAUGGUGAUGGUAAUGUUACAUGGAAGCCCUCAACAUGUGUGUCCUGCCCCUCUCCCCCCCUCCCCUCCACAAGCUGGGCAGCUCAGCCGGCCGGCAUUUCUUGGCUCUUCCCGCCUGCCUGUGGAAGAUGACUGAGAAUGCAGACUGUGGGAGGAAACGACAAUGUUCAUUGUUUGGAUUAAAUAUUUUU